UGGCCUUCUAUCUCAAAUGAAUAAUUUAUGUCUAAGUCUACUUUGCCUGAUAUUAAUAUAGGUACAGUAAUCUAUCUUUGGUUAGCAUUUGCAUAGUGUAUAAUUUUCCAACUAUGUAUUUUUAACUUUUCUUUAAAUUUAAGCCUUGUCUACAGUAAUCAAGUUUUUGUAGUAAUGAAGUCUGUAAUAGCAAGUUUUUAUCUUUUUUCAUUCAGUCUGUUAAUCAGUGUCUUUUUAAUUGAAUAAUUUGGUCAAUUUCCAGUUAAGUCAUUAACUGGAAAUUAUUACAUUUGACUUUAGAUCUUCCAUCUUACUACAUUUUUCUAUUUGUUUCAAAUGCUGUUGCUCUUUCUUUCCCUUUCUUCUUCUUGAUUUUUCUUUCAGUGUUCAAAUUCCUUACCUCUAUUAGCCUACUUAUUAAACAUUUAUUUAAUUUUGAUUUUAGUAGUUACCCCAGAGGCUAAACACCCUUGAGUUAUUAUAUAUAAAUUAGAACUUUUAACACAUGCUGAGUCUGGAGCUAGUGAAUCCUCUCAAGAUUGGCUUAUUUCAACUAGUUUUUAUCUUGCUUCUCAUUUGAAGGAUUUUUUCUAGCUUAGCAGUUGUCUUCUAUGAGCAUCAUGAAGGUGUCUUUGGGCUUCAAAAACUUACACUGGGAAGUCAGCUCUUUGUCUAAUUUUGCUCCUCUCAUGCCAAUACUCUUUUUUCUCCUGCAUGCAUGCCUGCUAAGUCGAUUCAGUCAUGUCUGACUCUGUACACCCUUAUGUACUGUAGCCUGCCAGGCUUCUCUGUCCAUGUGAUUGUCCAGGCAAGAAUACUGGAGUGGGUUGCCAUGCCCUUGGCCAGGGGAUCUUCCCAACCCAGGGAUCGAACCUGCAUCUCUUUUGUCUCCUGCACUGGCAGGGGGUUAUUUACCACUAGUGCCACCUGUGAAGUCCCUUUUUUCUCCUAUGGAUGCUUUAAAAUUUUUUUCCUUACUUCCAAUUUUCAGCAGAUUUAUAUGCCUAAUUUUACUUUUCUAUGAACUUAUCUUGCUUGGAAUUCCUACUUUUUCUUGAAUCUCUGGCUUGAUGUUUUUCAUCAAUGGGAAAUUCUCAGCUGUUCUUUUUAAAAUGCUACAUCUUCCUCAUUCUCAUUUUCCUCUUCUGCUGCUGUGGUUCUAUUAAGAUUUAUGUUUGGUGUUUUAUGUGUUCUAAAUAUUUCUUUUCCUCUUUCCUGUAUUACCUAUUCUUGGUUUGUGUUUUAUUCUGGAUAUUUCUUCUGAUUUAUCUUUUACUUCAACAGUUUCUCUUCAGUUCUUUCUAAUCGUAGGUUAAACAUACCCACUCUUCUUAGAUUUACCUAUUAUGUUUUCCUGUCCUAGAAUUUGUAUUUUAUUUCCAUUUUUUUGUUUAAAAUUUCAAUAUUCUCUGUCAAUUCCUUGAACAUAUCACUCAUAGUUUAUAUGCUGUUGCUGUAUUGGUCUAAUAACUUCAUUUUCUUCAUCUUCUGUGGAUCUGUUUCAUGUUUUGUGUCUUACAUUUUUGGAAACAGCCUUUGUGUGUAUAGGUGUGUGUUUGAUACUGGAUAUUAUAUAUUAAAACUUAACAAGUUAGGAAUUCCUUGGUGGUAUACGUUAUGAUACCACACUUUCACUGCUGAGGGCCAGGAUCGAUCCCAGUCAGGGAACCAAGAUCCCACAAGUCAUGUUGAAUGACCAAGUUAAAAAAAUAAUGAGCCUGGAUGAUGUCAUCAUAAUCAAGACAGGAUGGGUUUUGCCUCUGGCAGGCAGGUAGGCUAAAAGAAGGAGAAAUUCUUCAUUGUCUUUCUCAAAUAAGGAAUAAAAAUGUUAAGAACUUUAGUGUAUGAAGACUGGUCUAUUUCUGGUACAUUCUUACUCACAGAGUUCCAGCUGGAAACAUGGGGUGUUUAUUAGGGUCCUUUUUUGUGGAAGGGGUCCUUUAAUUUCAACGUUUAUCUCCCUGUCUCACGGCUCUGUCAAGGAUCUGCUCAUGUUAUCAGCCUCUCAGUUGUUUUUUUCCAGUCAGUAACUGCUUUUAGGGAGAAGCUCCCCCACCAAGGCCAGAUCACUUCUUUGAGCCUCUUUUUCUUGCAGUCCAGGCCCUCACAAUUCCUCAUAUACAACCUUGUUAGCUAUGCCAUGCAUUCAAAACAGUAGCUUUUGUCUUAAAAAAAAAAAAAUUGAACUAGCUGUUUACAGCAAGACAAUUGGUUCCAGCUACUUAAUACACCAUUGCUGAUACUGGAAUUCCUCCAUGUAAAAUAUUUUUAAGUUUAUAUAGUUGAUUUAACAAUUUUCUUCCCUUGA
Bos taurus (domestic cattle) is the source of this 2308-nucleotide long non-coding RNA. Lineage: Eukaryota; Metazoa; Chordata; Mammalia; Artiodactyla; Bovidae. The record is from Ensembl.